GUCAGGAAGAGGAAACAGCAGCUGCGGAGCUGGACUUGAUGGAAGGGAGCAUUUGCGUGCGGCGCGCAGGGCACUGAGUCACCAUCGUGGCCGCGUCCUCGCGCUCUCCUAGCGAUUUCUCCGGAGAAAGCGGAGCAAGGUCAGCCGGGCAGCCCUUCAAGGACGGCGCGCGCCGCUCCUGCAUGCUGAUGGCCUGCGGGGCUGCCUGCCCGCGCCCCGGCGCCCAACUCCUGCAAGGAAGAAAUUCAGGGGCUGCCCGCCCCCGCCACAGGCCUCUUCCCCCUCCCCAGCUGCAACUCGGCAGCCGUUCGUCAAAGACCCUGUUGUCACCGAGACACUGGGACCUUGUCUCAUCCUUGGAACCACUCGUAAAUCUUAGGUCAGGCAGCCGGCAGCCUUCGGGGACCACAGUCCCCCCAAAGCUUUAGGAAGCCAGUUACUACAUCCGGAAAGAUUCGUGCUUCAGAACGCAAGCCAGGGAGAAUAAUCACAGAAACGCAAUGCGAAUGUCGUGCCUCUCAGAAAUUCUUAGUCUGAAAUACCGUCCCCACCCCCCAACCCGGCCAGGCGACAGUCCUGUCAUCCUGACACCGCAGAGGCUCCAAGCGCUGGGAGUCGCGUGCCCGCGGCGCUCGCCACUGAGGCCGGUUGGAAGAUUCUAGGGUGCCCCUUCCCAGGUUCCAGCAGGCACUCCGGGAGGUUCUAGAGUCAGGCCAGGGAUUCAACCGCGAACCUGACCGAAACUCAAACCUCAGCACAAGAACUUUGAUGGGGGAAGUGCCCAGACUCCAAUACCCUCGACCUUGGCAUUUAGUAGUUUCUUCUUUGAAUUGGAAAGAUCAAAUAAUGCACAGUAAAAUCUCAUGAUAAGGGUUCCACCAAGAAUUCGGGAUUUGUGUUAAUUCAUAAGGCAGAAGUGGCCCCUGUGCUAUCCAUGAAGAGUUUCUGUAUUUCUCUGCAAGGUCACAGGUAGGCUUUUUAACCAAUUAAAGAAAAUCUCCAACAUUUAGAGGGCCCAUUAUUAUAAUAAUUCCUGUAUUUGUUUGCUGUCUGGCACAUAAAAACGUGCUUCACUUGCAUAUAUUAAUGAAUUUUCACCUCCUAGCCCCUGGCUAACCCAUUUUACAGCUGAAAGGACUAAAGCAACAGAUGCCCAAAGUAACUCACCUAGCAACCAGUCUUGGGAUUCUGAGAUGAGAUUCUUUCUCCCACACACACAGGCAGGCUGGCUUCUUGGGAGUGGGACUUGUUCAUUUGUCCCCAUCACCACCAUUGAUUUUGACUGAUUGCUCCACUCUUGCUGUCUUCAAACUUUUGAACAAGGGGGUUUGCAUUUCUCUUUGCACUGGGCCAAAUUAUGAGGUAGGUCCUACACACAGGCUCCAAGUUGACAGUACUAAUUUUUCACUAAUUUUUCUCUACUUGGUGCUCAAGUGUAGAGUUUGAGGGGUACUAUCAUCUUCACUCCAGGCAAGGCACUGUUGUUUCUUUUGUAUUCCUGCUUAUUCUCCACCCCAUCAGGUGCUCACUCUGAUACCUGUCUUUGAGUGCUGUUUUCUUGGAAAAACAAAACAAAUCUAUUUUCAAGAAAUGAAUCCAAAUUAUCCUAAGAACUUUUUAAUUGCAAUAUAAUGCAUUUACAGAAAAGUACACAAAUCAUAAAUGUUCAGGUCGCUGUGUUUUCACAAGCUGAACACACCCAUGUAACCAGUACACAGAUCAAUUAUCGGCCCCCAGGAGUCCCCUCAUGUUCCUUUCUGGUUACUAUGUACUCAAGAGUAACCACUGUUCUGAAUUCUAACCCCAAAGAUCAGUGCUUCCUGUUUUGUGUUUUAUAUAAAUGCAAUUAUACAUUAUAUAUUAUUUUGUGUCUGCCUUCUUUUGCUUAACGUUGCUAUGAGAUUUAUCCAUGCUGUUGCAUGUGGUGGGCAGAAUUACAAGAAGACCCCCAAGAUUCCUCACCCCUUCUUGUAUGCACAUUCCCGUAGGUAUUGAUCUAGGCGCUGCUGUGAAGGGAAUUUGCAGAUGUAAUUGGCCUAAAUCAGUUGGCUUUAAUAUCAGGAAAUUGUCCUCAGUGGGCAUGGCCAUAUGGAGCCCUUACAAGGGACUGGGCUCUUCCUGGUGAAAAAUAUUUGAAUCACGAGAGUGGCUGAUAUGAGGGAAAUUCUUUGCUGUUGCCUUCGAAGACAGAAGAGGUCCACAAGGCAAAGGAUGCAGACAGCCUGUAGGAGCUGAGACUGGCUCCUGGCUGACAGCCAGCAAGGAAAUGAGGACCUCAGUCCUCCAAUCAUGAAGCAGACACCGACUUCUGCUAACAACCUGAAUACACUUCAAAGAGGAUUCUGAGCUCCAGCCGCCUACACAUUGAUUUCAGCUGUUGGGACCCUCAGCCGAGAACCCAGCUAUGCCGUGCCCAGAUGUAAGACCUACACAUCUGUGAGCUUUCUAGUUAACAAGAUGGAGGAAGAGAUAAAGAAGGACAUUCCCCAAAGUCUCACAGAACUCUUCUGCUCACAUCUCAUUGGCUAACAUGAAUCACAUGGUGAACCUGGAUGCAGGGAGGCUGAAGAAGACAGUCAUCUUGCUGGGCAGAAGGAAAGGAAGGAGGACCUAUGAACAGUGGUGGGUUCCAUGUCAGGGGCUUGCCAGCCACAAGGAAAGGUCAGAAAUUCCCAGAAUUUCAGUUCUGAAAUCUGUAUGUUGACCCAGACUCUUGGGAAUUUU
This 2724-nucleotide long non-coding RNA is filed under the name Pan troglodytes (chimpanzee). RNAcentral's name for it is "long non-coding RNA NONPTRT007538". Lineage: Eukaryota; Metazoa; Chordata; Mammalia; Primates; Hominidae. The record is from RNAcentral.